AGUGAACGCUGGCGGUAGGCCUAACACAUGCAAGUCGAACGGCAGCACAGUAAGAGCUUGCUCUUACGGGUGGCGAGUGGCGGACGGGUGAGGAAUACAUCGUAAUCUACUUUUUCGUGGGGGAUAACGUAGGGAAACUUACGCUAAUACCGCAUACGACCUACGGGUGAAAGCAUGGGAUCUUCUGACCUUGCGCGAUUGAAUGAGCCGAUGUCGGAUUAGCUAGUUGGCGGGGUAAAGGCCCACCAAGGCGACGAUCCGUAGCUGGUCUGAGAGGAUGAUCAGCCACACUGGAACUGAGACACGGUCCAGACUCCUACGGGAGGCAGCAGUGGGGAAUAUUGGACAAUGGGCGCAAGCAUGAUCCAGCCAUACCGCGUGGGUGAAGAAGGCCUUCGGGUUGUAAAGCCCUUUUGUUGGGAAAGAAAAGCAGCAGGUUAAUACCACGCUGUUAUGACGGUAACGAAAGAAUAAGCACCGGCUAACUUCGUG
Molecule: ribosomal RNA, 492 nt
Filed under: uncultured bacterium
Lineage: Bacteria
Description: partial 16S ribosomal RNA
Rfam family: Bacterial small subunit ribosomal RNA
Source: RNAcentral